RNAcentral lists this unclassified non-coding RNA (240 nucleotides) under soil metagenome. Its description in RNAcentral is "partial contains 5.8S ribosomal RNA, internal transcribed spacer 2, and large subunit ribosomal RNA". The record is from RNAcentral.
AACGCACGAGACCUGCGGACCUGCGGAGGGAUCAUUAUCGAGUGCGAACCCCCCCGUAAAAAAGGGGGGUCACCUCCCGUCCUUUGCUAGGCACCCCUUCUACCUGGAAGGGGGUUGCUUUGAAACCUUUCUGCUUCGGCGGGGUUACCUGCCGAAACAACCUCAAAUUCUAAGUCAAACGGUUCAGUCCGAGAAACUUUGAAAAAGCGAAAACUUUUAACAACGGAUCUCUAGAUCGGA